CCAAAACGACAGAGGCUCCGCUGUCAAGAUUCUUCUCUUUCUUUCUUUCUGUCUCUCUCCUCUCUCCUCCACUUUUCUCACCCCUUAUCUCUCCCUAAUUCCUGAAAUUUUCCCGAGAAACAAACACCCUGGUUCACAUGGUUUUAGUGGUUGAGAUGCUUUUUUCAGUGCUUUGAUUGUUGGGUAUUUUUUUGGGUUGUUUGCGGGUUUUGGUUUCAUGGGGUGUACGACUUCUAAGAUUGAUGAUCUCCCGGCGGUGGCGCUUUGCCGAGAGAGAUGUGCUUGCUUGGAUGACGCGAUACAGCAAAGGUACACUUUUGCGGCGUAUCAUGUGGCGUAUAUGAAGAGCUUGCAGGUGAUUGGAGGGUCAUUGCAGGAAUUUUUUGACCUGGAUCUUGAUGGGUCAGCAGUGUCGCCGGUGCUGCCGCUGCCGGUUCAGAAAAAAGGAGAUCAUGAGGUUCAGAGGGAAAUCAAACUCAAGGCUGAGCCCUCGGGCUUGUCGCCGGCGGCGGCUGCGUUGAACGACCGUUCGAAUUCGAAUUCCGGGUCGCAUCUAAACUUUCACUCGGAUUCGGACGACGAAGAUGGUAGCAUGGAAUCCCUCCACCAUUCCGAACACUAUUCGCCUCGUCAUGGCUAUCAGGACCAUCUCGGUUACGAUGAGGAAGCCCUAAGUUCAUUUCCGAGAGGGUUCAUGAAUGUGAACAUGAAUUUCAUGAAAAAUCAGGCCACACAGUCGGUGACGUACCAGCACCGGCCGGCGAGUCCUGAAAAGAUGCACAUGGGCGAAGCUUCGUACUACCCAUAUGCCUAUCCGAACAAUAAUCCUAGUUCUUACCCCUACGGUUAUGGUGGUGGAAAUUACGGCUACUAUGGCCAGCAGCCGCAGCAGCCGUAUGGGGCUUCAUCGCCCGCUAUGGCAACGGGGGCGUCAUCUUCGAAACCGCCUCCACCACCGCCAUCACCGCCUAGCAGCUCGGCUUGGGACUUCUUUAACCCUUUCGAGAGUUAUGAUAAAUACUAUCCUCCAUAUACCCCUAGUAGAGACUCGAAAGAUUUGAGAGAGGAGGAGGGUAUUCCUGAUUUGGAAGAUGAGGAUUAUCUGCAUGAAGUUGUGAAGGAAAUUCACGGAAAUCAGAAGUUUGUGGAUGGCGGUGGAGGUGGUGGCAAUUACGCAAAGAUGAUGGAGAAUCAGAGCGAGAAGGUGGAUAAUAUGGAUGCCCAUUAUCAGAGACAGAGUGUUUCAGCGGAUAACGACAGAGUGGAGUAUGAAGUGCAUAUGUUGGAGAAGAAGGUGGUUGAUAGUGAGGAGAAGGCCGGAGAUCGGGGUAAUGUGGCUGCAUUCAAAGCUCGUGGCGGGCCUCGGGGUAUGUACGAGGUGGUGAGGGAAAUUCAGGUUCAGUUUGUGAGAGCUUCAGAGUGUGGAAAUGAGCUUGCCAAAAUGCUGGAGGUGGGAAAGCACCCAUACCACCCAAAAAAUCAAGGUAAAAUUUUUCCCACAGAGCUUCUGAUAUUCCAUGUCUUUCUCUCCUUUCGAGUUCUUAUUUCUCUUUGUUUUUAUUAUUUGUUAGAUUGCUUCAUCUGUGAUAAUUUCAUGGCUAAGUGAGUCUGAAGCAUUUGAUUGUAGUUAUAUGGAUCUGGGUUCACUUGAAUGUAAUCGAAAAUGUUCAAUAACUGGAUCAUCAUGCCCCUGAUUUUCAAUUUUAUGGUUCUUUGAAAGCAGUUUCUUCGAAGAUGUUGCAUGCCAUUUCUCCUUCGGUAGCCGCUUUAGUAUCCUCACAGCCUGCUACUUCCAAAAAUGCCGAGUCCUCGGCUUCCGGUGAGAAGGCUGAUCCUAUGGAGUUGGAAUUUGAUGGAGGUGCCGGGAUGAGAUCAGGAAAUCUCUCUUCUACCUUACAAAAGCUGCAUCUUUGGGAGAAGAAACUCUAUGAUGAAGUCAAGGUAUGCUUUUUCUUUUUCCCCCUUUUCUUUUUCAUCUCCUUUUUUUUUUUUUUUUUUUUUUUUCUAAUUUUUCUGCAUAAUCAAUCUUGGUUUAGACUUUAAUUUAUGUAGUUUUGGAUUUUUAGUUCAAAUGGAAAUUUUCUUUAGCUGAACUAUAUGGUACAUGUCUACGUCAUCCUAUAUACACCCACUUCUGGAAUCAUGUGGUGGUGACAAUUAACUGCAAUCUUGUUUCAUGAUUUCUCCUUUAUCAUCCACCAUUAUGUUAGGAUGCUUAUCCUUGUCAGCAGUUGGCGUGUUUGGACGUUUGUUCCCCUGUCAGAUGUGUCAGAAACCAUUUUGGACAUUUGUAAAUAAGUGCACGUCUUUCUAAUCAAAACAAAACACGUGGAGUAGAAUGCUCUUGUAUUUUGAAUUUUAUUUUGUCGAAGAGGAAAAAAAAAACCGGCGCCUGCAAAUUUGCUAUGUGGCUGAUAUGUUAUAACUUGAUUAUCAAAGACAAUUCAUAAUUAUCCUUUCCACAUGAGCACGCUGAAACAAGCUAGAAUUCUGUGUCCUUGCAUGUUCCCAUUUGGUGCAUUCUCAUGCACUUGACAUAUAUAUAAAUGUAUCCUUAUUUCGAGAUUUUGUGGAGUUGCUUUAUCUGACAGCAUAUUCUGUUUUCUGGCACAAAUUGUGUCCAUUCUAAUGUUUAAUGUCUCCAUUGGUCAUAAUUCUUAUGUAGACAAGCUUUCUUAUGGAUUCCAUAUCAUUGACAUGCAUUCUAUAUUUUGGACAGAAGAAUGUAGACAAUUUCUUGAAACUCAUGGCCAUGGAGGGAUGUGAAGGCAACUAUUUGUUUUCACACUUCACCCAUCAAUCUUGCUUUCCAGAAAUCGUUCCAGUUUUCCAUCUUAAAGCUUGCUUGUCCCUUUUAAAGCAAAGAGCAAUUAUUUGACUUAAAAAACAAAAAGAAAAAGAAAAAAUAAAGGAAAAAAAGAGGGGAGGGGGUAGUCUUAUUCAACCAUUUGGGAUUGGGUGCAGUAUAAUUUUUCAAUUUUCUUCCUUAGUGCUAUAUUUUUUAGUCAAUAUUUCUGCCAUAAGAUUGACAAAUUUCAAUGUUUUCGUUAAUUAUAGUUUAACAAAAUGUUCUAAUGUUUUAUUUCUUUUGGUAUAUUUAUGAAACCAAGAAAGUUGAUUGUAUUGGAACUUGUAGAACAUUUAGUGGUGAUCUGAUAUUAUAUCUUUUGGCAAUGUGUGGGUGCAGGGAUUGUGUGUUGUAUUUGCUGCAUGUGUAUAUAUGUGCACCUUAAAAUAUAGCUACACAAACCACAGAUAGAUAACUGCCACCAGAACAUUACAUAAUCAUCAUGGUAUUGGCUAAGAUCUGUGGAAUUAAGGUGCAUGAACAGAGUGGUGACUGUUGACUAGAUUCUCAGGAAAGUAGACGUGAGGAAGUAUUUGCUAAUGCGAUCAAAUUCCAUAUUUUAAUUUGUAAGGUCAUUAAUCACUUAGUCAAAGCUAAGGCACUCGAGGAUGUCCAAUAGGAAAGAAACCAUUCUUUAAAAGCAAGUCUCGAUAUUUUCAUUUUCAGAAUUUGCUCAACCCAUCACUAUUUUGUUUUGGUUUUUUUUUCUUUUUUCUUUUUUCCUCCCUGUCCUUUGGCAAAAUUCUUCUAUUUCUGUCCAAAGCAAGAGAUUAAGGGCCACAUAUAUUUUGAACUUGUGGAAACUCUCUCCAAUAGCAAAGCUAAAAGAAUAAUUUAAAGGAUCUAACUCCAAAGAGAUAUGGUUAUAGAUACUCUUCCUUUUUUUCCCUUGCCCCUCUGAA
This 3750-nucleotide long non-coding RNA is filed under the name Vitis vinifera (wine grape). RNAcentral describes it as "long non-coding RNA (VVIN_LNC000633)". Lineage: Eukaryota; Viridiplantae; Streptophyta; Magnoliopsida; Vitales; Vitaceae. The record is from RNAcentral.